AAACUCUCUGAUGUCAACCUUUCUGACAUCAGUAUGUCCUUUGUGACCUCAAUAGUAUCAAUGGGAUCACAUCAGAGGGAGAAAGAAGCCAUGUGAAAUAACUCAUUAUGACCAGAAUGGAAGAAGAAAACACAAGAAGUUGUUCAAGGGAAAAAUAUUAGCUGACAGGAAGGAGAAGUGAUACUCUGAAAAUCUAUCAAGUUUUGACUAUGUUUAAGUCACCCUGUGAAACAGAUGUUGCUGUCAUCCUCAUGCUAUUGACAAGCGAAGCUCAGAGAGGCCCUGCUAGGAGCUCAGAGUUCCUGGUUCAACCUUUUAUUGAAGGCAGGCGUUGGACCAACUUGAAGGAAGCAGAAGUUCACUUCAGUGCCUUACACUAAUUGACAAAGACCUGCGUUUAUGAAUAUGUGUAAACUAUCAAGUCUAGCAGACAUGAGAGAGACAUCAGCUAUUGAGGUUGACCAAGAUGAAGAAAUAGAAUACUUGACUCUGGAAAACAGAAGUAAAUUGAGAGUUAACAAAGAACUUCAACAAAGCCUAGUUAUAUUAGUGAUUGGGACCAUAAAAAACAAAAACAGCAAAAAGAUAUAGGCUGCUAUAAAGAAGACAUCAGAGAAACAAAAACAAAGUUCUUUUAAAUCAAUGAUUUUCAACUGGAGGGAAUUUUGCCUUCAUUGGGUAUUUGGUAAUCCUACCACAUACAGGACAGUCCCACAACACAAAUUUAUCCGCCCUAAAGUAUCAGUAGUGCCAGCCUUGAGAAAUGUUGUCUAAAUUAAAACUAUUACUGCCAUAAUGAAAGAAAUGUUCUUUAAAUUUUGGAGGAAACAUUUAAAAUAAUCUUUUGGAGUAUAAAGUAAAAUAUGAAGAGAAAACAUAGGAGAGUAAUUCAAAGACACAGAAGAUCAACAUAGAAGGAAUACCCCAAAGAGAAAACAGAGAUGGUGGAAGUGGGGAAAUAAUCAAAGAAAUAAUUUUCCAGUGAUAAAUAAAGGCAUGAGACAUGGAGUAGAAUGAAAGAAUAAUGACCCAUAAUUAUAAACAACUCAGAG
Long non-coding RNA from Heterocephalus glaber (naked mole-rat), 1052 nucleotides. Lineage: Eukaryota; Metazoa; Chordata; Mammalia; Rodentia; Bathyergidae. The record is from Ensembl.